AGUGAACGCUGGCGGUAGGCCUAACACAUGCAAGUCGAACGGCAGCACAGUAAGAGCUUGCUCUUACGGGUGGCGAGUGGCGGACGGGUGAGGAAUACAUCGGAAUCUACUUUUUCGUGGGGGAUAACGUAGGGAAACUUACGCUAAUACCGCAUACGACCUACGGGUGAAAGCAGGGGAUCUUCGGACCUUGCGCGAUUGAAUGAGCCGAUGUCGGAUUAGCUAGUUGGCGGGGUAAAGGCCCACCAAGGCGAGGAUCCGUAGCUGGUCUGAGAGGAUGAUCAGCCACACUGGAACUGAGACACGGUCCAGACUCCUACGGGAGGCAGCAGUGGGGAAUAUUGGACAAUGGGCGCAAGCCUGAUCCAGCCGUACCGCGUGGGUGAAGAAGGCCUUCGGGUUGUAAAGCCCUUUUGUUGGGAAAGAAAAGCAGCAGGUUAAUACCCCGCUGUUCUGACGGUACCCAAAGAAUAAGCACCGGCUAACUUCGUG
Molecule: ribosomal RNA, 492 nt
Filed under: uncultured bacterium
Lineage: Bacteria
Description: partial 16S ribosomal RNA
Rfam family: Bacterial small subunit ribosomal RNA
Source: RNAcentral